GAUGAACGCUGGCGGCGUGCCUAAUACAUGCAAGUCGAGCGAACAGACGAGGAGCUUGCUCCUCUGACGUUAGCGGCGGACGGGUGAGUAACACGUGGAUAACCUACCUAUAAGACUGGGAUAACUUCGGGAAACCGGAGCUAAUACCGGAUAAUAUAUUGAACCGCAUGGUUCAAUAGUGAAAGACGGUUUUGCUGUCACUUAUAGAUGGAUCCGCGCCGCAUUAGCUAGUUGGUAAGGUAACGGCUUACCAAGGCGACGAUGCGUAGCCGACCUGAGAGGGUGAUCGGCCACACUGGAACUGAGACACGGUCCAGACUCCUACGGGAGGCAGCAGUAGGGAAUCUUCCGCAAUGGGCGAAAGCCUGACGGAGCAACGCCGCGGGAGUGAUGAAGGUCUUCGGAUCGUAAAACUCUGUUAUUAGGGAAGAACAAAUGUGUAAGUAACUAUGCACGUCUUGACGGUACCUAAUCAGAAAGCCACGGCUAACUACGUGC
This 498-nucleotide ribosomal RNA is filed under the name uncultured bacterium. RNAcentral's name for it is "partial 16S ribosomal RNA". It matches the Rfam family "Bacterial small subunit ribosomal RNA", at positions 28 to 508 of the family's 1533-position model. The record is from RNAcentral.